GGGGAUGAUCGGCCUAGACAAAAGAUUUACUUUAAUAUGUGCGAUACCAAGUUCAAUUUACUUGUUAAACAGAUUGAACCACAAUAAGUGCUAAACAAACACUUAAAAAAGCAGGUCCUGUUCUUUCGUUUAUUCAAAGAAAAGAUCUUGCUGCAGUUUACGCUUAAGUAAACUCCACCCACUCUUCUCAUGUCCGAUAGGGAGAUAUGGGUGUCAUAAAUUCGGACUAGAGAAUGUGUCUGUCUCAACACAAACUCAAGGUUAAAGAGGCUCAGUGUAUUAUGGUUUUGUUGGUUUUCUACAUAAUACUCUUAAAUUUCUGAAACAAACUAUGUCUCGUAGAAUCGUAUUAAAGCAUUUUUUGCACGCGGGUUCGAUUCCCGCCAUCUCCACCA
This 395-nucleotide transfer-messenger RNA is filed under the name Patescibacteria group bacterium. It matches the Rfam family "transfer-messenger RNA". From Rfam's summary of the family: Bacterial tmRNA, also known as 10Sa RNA or SsrA, is named for its dual tRNA and mRNA-like properties. Its role is to liberate the mRNA from a stalled ribosome. To accomplish this part of the tmRNA is used as a reading frame that ends in a translation stop signal. The record is from RNAcentral. RNAcentral also lists the same sequence under 1 other name.